This is a non-coding RNA of Myodes glareolus (Bank vole), 695 nucleotides long. NCBI's taxonomy places the organism in Eukaryota, Metazoa, Chordata, Mammalia, Rodentia, Cricetidae. The record is from RefSeq and is a predicted model, not a curated record.
CCUCAGAAAUGGUAAGACCUCCAAUGGGGAGUCAACAAACCUCAUUUAAUACAUAUUUUCUAUUCUCUUUCAACCACUUACUUACUACUUUAAGGCCCAAAAUACAAGGGAUAUUCCUUAAUGGAGAUAAGGAUUUGAAAUUUAGAGCCCAAUCAUACAGAAUGCAAAAGUUAAAGGUGUUCAGCAACUGAGAUCGGAGAAAGAUCAAGAGGAAAGUAGAAGAGGAGAAAGGACCCCAAAUAUUGCCCUGGGCCAGAUCUCACAGAUCAAAGGAUUAAGACCAGAUGUGUAUUGAGUGAAAAAAAUCACUGGUCACUGGACACGUGACUAACACCCCACCCUUUCACCCCCGCCACUGAAGUCAUGUCCGGCAUGUAUAAACUCAAAGUCUAGCAUUUGAAGGUGUAUUGUUCAAAUUCUUAGUGUAUGAAUGAACCAAUUCCCAACAAGGACUAAGGACGUUGGGGAAAUAGGGCUGGGUGUAGCUCCUGCUUGCUCUCUGCUGAAGAAACCUGGAUUACUCGAUAUGUGGCAGGUAAACGGAUGGACCUAGAGACCAGAAAGCCUCACGCUAUCUUUCGUCUGCAGUUUCUUGCUCCAUAUCCUCAGAUGUGAGUACACAACAUGGAGUAACCAUAGAAACCAGAACAGUUUUUGGGAGCUGGUUCUUUCCUUCUACCAUGGGAUGCUGGGAU